GGAUUGAACCAUAUUGGAUUGAGGGGCCAGUGUGAGCAUUGGCAUAGAAAAACCGCACUCUCCGUGCGAUCACCUAAUUCAAACAGAAGCAGAACACAGGCUGCAAAUCAAGCCAGAGCAAAGCCAAAUUUGAAGUGUGCUCGCAGUCUGAGCUUGACUUACUUUACAGAGUUACAAUGGGGAUGAAGUCAGGAAGAGGUGAACCAUGUGUGCCAAUUUGAACUCGCUGGAGGAUAUUACAUGUGAAAACUGACGCCCCUUUUUGGACAACUAUGGUGAAAGAAGAGAAAAAAUUAAAACAAGACCCUGUAUGACUUGUUACCAACUAUCAUGAUUAGUAUCCUCAUAUUAUCCACAAUUCCUAUGAAAACUGUUAGCUGUAUCAAAAUUCAAUGAUGAUUGGCUGAUUCAACACAUUAUAUUAUACAAAAGAAAUUGAUUCCUCAAGGAAGGGAUUAUUUUGCAUGGUGUCCUCACACCCUAAGUACCCUCCCUCUGCCCUAUUGCUUACACUGAGCAAAUACAGUAUAUCUCAUUGAGAUAAUUCUUUCCUUGCGUACAAAAGCUGAACUACAACUGCAUCAGGCUCAAGUAGAUGACAGACGUACCCCACGCCAUUAGAGCCAGAGUUCCUUGUAGUGGCAACAAAUACUUGAGUCUCCUAGCAUAAACUUGCUUCACUUUGCAUUUUGCAAAUUUAGCUGGUUCUAUGAUUAUUUCACUGUUUUUACUAUAUUGGAAGCCACCUAGAGUGGUCUUUUAGACCAGAUGGGCGGGGUAUAAAUCAAAUAAAUAAAUAAAAAAUUAAAAAAUAGUUAUUGGGAAGUAAACCUGGUCUUCAUUUGCUAGUUUAAUAGUACCAGGAGGGAAAAUGUUCCAAAACAGGACCUAUGCUGUAACAGCAGGAAAUCACAUUUCCUGUAACAUGUGAUUCAGCCAUGCGAUUUGUAGACCAAAAUCUCAACAGGGUUUGAAAGAGAGAGAGAGAAGGGUCAGGGAGAGGAUUUUUGGACUUGGAAUAAAGCAAUCAGAUGCUUACCCUCCUUUCUUUUGCAAUUUCCAGGGGUCUACCACAUGCGUUUUUUUAAAAAGGGUUUCCAAAGUAUAUUUAGAACACCAAUUGGGGAACGAUACAGUUUGUGAUGGAAAUGGACCAGGAACCAAGAAAUAUGAAGUCUGCAUUCUGAAGAACCUGUCCAGUGCUGAACCUGUCCAUAAUAUUCUCCAGAACCAAAAGAGAGAGAAGUAGAGAGCAUGAAAACACACUUUGAUAGAGGUACUUAUGUUAACAUCUAUAUCAGCCUAUGGAGCUGGGAAAAAAACCCAAAUAAAAAUUAUUUCCAUAUCA
This 1348-nucleotide long non-coding RNA is filed under the name Pogona vitticeps (central bearded dragon). RNAcentral describes it as "lncRNA (ENSPVIG00000000078.1)". Lineage: Eukaryota; Metazoa; Chordata; Lepidosauria; Squamata; Agamidae. The record is from RNAcentral.